This 423-nucleotide ribosomal RNA is filed under the name uncultured Nitrososphaerota archaeon. Its description in RNAcentral is "bacterial SSU rRNA". It matches the Rfam family "Archaeal small subunit ribosomal RNA", at positions 322 to 747 of the family's 1478-position model. Lineage: Archaea; Thermoproteati; Nitrososphaerota. The record is from RNAcentral.
CCUACGGGGUGCAGCAGGCGCGAAACCUCUGCAAUAGGCGAAAGCCUGACAGGGUUACUCUGAGUGACUUUCGCUAAGAAAGUCUUUUGACACCUCUAAAAAUGGUGUAGAAUAAGGGGUGGGCAAGUCUGGUGUCAGCCGCCGCGGUAAUACCAGCACCCCGAGUGGUCGGGACGAUUAUUGGGCCUAAAGCAUCCGUAGCCGGUUUUACAAGUCCUCCGUUAAAUCCAGCUGCUUAACAGAUGGGCUGCGGAGGAUACUAUAAGACUAGGAGGCAGGAGAGGCAAGCGGUACUCAGUGGGUAGGGGUAAAAUCCGUUGAUCCAUUGAAGACCACCAGUGGCGAAGGCGGCUUGCCAGAAUGCGCUCGACGGUGAGGGAUGAAAGCUGGGGGAGCAAACCGGAUUAGAUACCCCAGUAGUCC